CCUGAAGGAAGUCAGGGCAGGAACUC
This 26-nucleotide non-coding RNA is filed under the name Cricetulus griseus (Chinese hamster). Lineage: Eukaryota; Metazoa; Chordata; Mammalia; Rodentia; Cricetidae. The record is from RNAcentral.